UUUGUGGCUAAAUGUUUGUACUCUGUGGCCAUCAUCUUCCCACUUCCCCAACUUCUGAAACUGAGGCAACUACUUCCUGUGUGUAUAACUUUGACUCUUUUCAUUUCAGACCUAAAUGAGGCUGUACAAUAGUUGUCUUCUUGAACUGUAUUUCACAUGCCAUUUCCUCCAUUUUCACCUACAUAUGAGAUUCCCUUGGAUUGCUGAAUAAUAGUUCACAUGUAUACACAUACCACAUUUUGUUUAUCAAUCCUGGAAGUGAUUCUUAACUAUGACAUGGAAACCAUAGCAACAAAAAAAGAAGUGGAGCAACACCAGACCAAACUUCUCCUGUGCGGUGAUCUCUCAAGCAACGGCAAGAGCUUUGUCCUCACAAGGUUCCUGUCUUGAAGAGUUGAAAAGUCAUUCUGGGUGCAAGUAUAAAUUCUAUGAGUAUAAAUUCACUGUGAUGCAUCACCCGAGGAAGGAGGCAAUGAGGCUUGGCUUGGUGCAACUUACACUGGACAGAUACAAGCACUGACAUUCUAGAACUUCUCCAAACUAGCGCACAUUACGUGAACAUUUCUUACAACCUGGAAUAAAUCCUUGUUUGCUGUCAGA
Molecule: long non-coding RNA, 600 nt
Organism: Mastomys coucha (southern multimammate mouse)
Lineage: Eukaryota; Metazoa; Chordata; Mammalia; Rodentia; Muridae
Exons: 2
Source: RefSeq, a predicted model, not a curated record